UGAGCCAAGUUUAGGGUUUUCUCAAAACCCAAGCAGUAUUGAACUGAAGAGUUUGAUCAUGGCUCAGAUUGAACGCUGGCGGCAGGCCUAACACAUGCAAGUCGAGCGGAUGAAGGGGGCUUGCUCCUGGAUUCAGCGGCGGACGGGUGAGUAAUGCCUAGGAAUCUGCCUGGUAGUGGGGGAUA
RNAcentral lists this ribosomal RNA (185 nucleotides) under Pseudomonas aeruginosa. RNAcentral's name for it is "partial 16S ribosomal RNA". The stretch from base 41 to 185 matches the Rfam family "Bacterial small subunit ribosomal RNA", at positions 1 to 145 of the family's 1533-position model. Lineage: Bacteria; Pseudomonadati; Pseudomonadota; Gammaproteobacteria; Pseudomonadales; Pseudomonadaceae. The record is from RNAcentral.